UACGUAGGUGGCAAGCGUUGUCCGGAAUUAUUGGGCGUAAAGCGCGCGCAGGCGGUUUCUUAAGUCUGAUGUGAAAGCCCACGGCUCAACCGUGGAAGGUCAUUGGAAACUGGGGAACUUGAGUGCAGAAGAGAAGAGCGGAAUUCCACGUGUAGCGGUGAAAUGCGCAGAUAUCAGGAGGAACACCAAUUGCGAAGGCAGCUCGCUGGGACGUUACUGACGCUGAGACGCGAAAGCGUGGGGAGCAAGCAGG
RNAcentral lists this ribosomal RNA (253 nucleotides) under uncultured bacterium. RNAcentral describes it as "partial 16S ribosomal RNA". It matches the Rfam family "Bacterial small subunit ribosomal RNA", at positions 524 to 776 of the family's 1533-position model. The record is from RNAcentral.